UGCUCGGUGGUCGAGUGGUAAGACGUCUGCCUUAGAAAGCAGGAGGUCGUGGGUUCGAGUCCCACCCGAGUGA
This 73-nucleotide transfer RNA is filed under the name Patiria miniata (bat star). RNAcentral describes it as "tRNA-Leu". It matches the Rfam family "tRNA". From Rfam's summary of the family: Transfer RNA (tRNA) molecules are approximately 80 nucleotides in length. Their secondary structure includes four short double-helical elements and three loops (D, anti-codon, and T loops). The record is from Rfam by way of RNAcentral. Lineage: Eukaryota; Metazoa; Echinodermata; Asteroidea; Valvatida; Asterinidae.